AUAAAGAAUGGUUAGUGGCAGACGGGUGAGUAAUGCAUAGGAAUCUACCUAGUAGUAUGGGAUAGCCACUAGAAAUGGUGGGUAAUACUGUAUAAUCCCUGCGGGGGAAAGAUUUAUCGCUAUUAGAUGAGCCUAUGUUAGAUUAGCUAGUUGGUAGGGUAAAGGCCUACCAAGGCGAUGAUCUAUAGCUGGUCUGAGAGGAUGAUCAGCCACACUGGAACUGAGAUACGGUCCAGACUCCUACGGGAGGCAGCAGUGGGGAAUAUUGGACAAUGGCCGCAAGCCUGAUCCAGCUAUGCCGCAUGAGUGAGGAAGGCCUUAGGGUUGUAAAACUCUUUCAGUAGGGAAGAUAAUGACGGUACCUACAGAAGAAGUCCCGGCAAACUCCGUGCCAGCAGCCGCGGUAAUACGGAGGGGGCAAGCGUUGUUCGGAAUUAUUGGGCGUAAAGGGCAUGUAGGCGGUUCGGUAAGUUAAAGGUGAAAUGCCAGGGCUUAAC
RNAcentral lists this ribosomal RNA (497 nucleotides) under Anaplasma phagocytophilum. RNAcentral describes it as "bacterial SSU rRNA". It matches the Rfam family "Bacterial small subunit ribosomal RNA", at positions 81 to 613 of the family's 1533-position model. Lineage: Bacteria; Pseudomonadati; Pseudomonadota; Alphaproteobacteria; Rickettsiales; Anaplasmataceae. The record is from RNAcentral.